GGGGAGUCCACCCAGACUGCUGAAGAAGAGAUAGAUCACGUGUAACAGAAGAAAAGAAAAACUGAAAGAAACACAAAGUCAGUGUUUUUCCAAGUUGCCUGAUAAGAAUCUCCUGGGGAUUGAGUCAUCUUCUGUAGACAAGGCACUCUGACUGUCUCCUCAACGACAUUAGCUGAAGACAGACAUUAAUCUUCAAGGAGAAGAGCAGCCUCGUGGGAAGGCUCCUGACUGAUUCACAGCCAGGACUAAUAGCGACAGCCAAGUGACCCAGUAUUUGACAGAAGGCUCUAGCCUCUCGCCUAGUAAAUUACUGAAUGCCUCUUUUUCCUACCCUCACCCUUCUUCCCUCGUCUGGAUCCCCAACGCCUGAGCCUGACAAGUGUCACACAGUCCUGUGCCCCAGACCUUCCAACAGGAUUCUUAUGGUCACUUGCUAGCAGCUUGUUCCCACACCUUAACACCCCCUAAAAACAAAAAAAAAAAAACAAAAAAACAAAAAAACCCACUACUUCUAAAAAGGAACCCAAAACCCUGUUACUUUCUUUCUUGGUUUUUGGUUGUUGUUGUUGUUGUUGUUGUUGUUGUUGUUGAGGCAGGGUC
Cricetulus griseus (Chinese hamster) is the source of this 600-nucleotide non-coding RNA. NCBI's taxonomy places the organism in Eukaryota, Metazoa, Chordata, Mammalia, Rodentia, Cricetidae. The record is from RefSeq and is a predicted model, not a curated record.